GCUUCGGUGGUGUAGUGGUAGUAGCACGCGUCCCCAAUAUGGAUGAAAGGCGGGUUUGAUCUCCACUUGAGGCG
Parelaphostrongylus tenuis is the source of this 74-nucleotide non-coding RNA. The record is from the annotation of a GenBank genome assembly. Lineage: Eukaryota; Metazoa; Nematoda; Chromadorea; Rhabditida; Metastrongylidae.